GAUGAACGCUGACAGAAUGCUUAACACAUGCAAGUCAUUGGCGAAGCUGCGCUUGCGCAGUCUAGCCAAGGCGGACGGGUGAGUAACGCGUAAGGAACUUGCCCUGCAGACAGGGAUAACAGACGGAAACGACUGAUAACACCUGGUAUUGUCAGGCUGGCGCAUGCCGGCCUGAUGAAAGGAGACGCUGCAGGAGAGCCUUGCGUCCUAUUAGCUAGUUGGUGGGGUAACGGCCCACCAAGGCGAUGAUAGGUAGCCGGCCUGAGGGGGUGAACGGCCACAAGGGGACUGAGAUACGGCCCUUACUCCUACGGGAGGCAGCAGUGGGGAAUAUUGGACAAUGGGGGCAACCCUGAUCCAGCAAUUCUGUGUGCACGAAGAAGGUUUUCGGAUUGUAAAGUGCUUUCAGCAGGGAAGAAGAAAGUGACGGUACCUGCAGAAGAAGCGACGGCUAAAUACGUG
This 462-nucleotide ribosomal RNA is filed under the name uncultured bacterium. RNAcentral's name for it is "partial 16S ribosomal RNA". It matches the Rfam family "Bacterial small subunit ribosomal RNA", at positions 28 to 507 of the family's 1533-position model. The record is from RNAcentral.